GUUUAUAUAGUUUAAUAAAAACAUUACAUUUUCAUUGUAAAAUUAGAAACCUUCUUAUGAACA
RNAcentral lists this transfer RNA (63 nucleotides) under Cheirotonus gestroi. RNAcentral describes it as "tRNA-Glu". It matches the Rfam family "tRNA". From Rfam's summary of the family: Transfer RNA (tRNA) molecules are approximately 80 nucleotides in length. Their secondary structure includes four short double-helical elements and three loops (D, anti-codon, and T loops). Lineage: Eukaryota; Metazoa; Arthropoda; Insecta; Coleoptera; Scarabaeidae. RNAcentral also lists the same sequence under 1 other name. The record is from RNAcentral.